Pantherophis guttatus is the source of this 414-nucleotide non-coding RNA. NCBI's taxonomy places the organism in Eukaryota, Metazoa, Chordata, Lepidosauria, Squamata, Colubridae. The record is from RefSeq and is a predicted model, not a curated record.
CAAGUCCUCUUGGGAAAUGCAGUCCUGAGCUUGCUUACAGAAAAGGGGAUGGCGAGAGAAAUGCAAGCCUUCAGUUCCCGUGAUGCUCCAUCACUCAACUGCUCCACUCAAACUGGGAGGCUAGCAGGGAAGGCGAGCAAAGGCUGCGGGACUUUUAUGCGAGUUAGGAGGCUUCUUUGAAAAGAUGAUGAGUCAUGGGCUUGUUGAGUCAGCAGCCGAAUUUUUAUCCAGUAGAGGUCAGUGGAGUACAUAAGCCCUCGACGGUAUUUCAUAUCUCUACAGAAAUGGAGAUCAGCACUGUCAGUUUCUUUCGAAAAGAUGACAAUAUUGUAUAGAAAUUGCCCCUGUUUUCUUUGGUGCAAAAUAAUUAUGACAUGGAAAUAAUAAUAAAUGAUUUCAUAUGGAUGAAAGCAA